GGCCGCCUGGCGAAAUGGCAUCGCGUCUGACUACGACUUCAUUUGAAUUACAUCUCAGCGUGAUCAGGAGAUUGCAGGUUCGACCCCUGCGGUGGUCA
Molecule: non-coding RNA, 98 nt
Organism: Russula compacta
Lineage: Eukaryota; Fungi; Basidiomycota; Agaricomycetes; Russulales; Russulaceae
Source: the annotation of a GenBank genome assembly